This 714-nucleotide ribosomal RNA is filed under the name Bacillus thuringiensis. RNAcentral describes it as "bacterial SSU rRNA". It matches the Rfam family "Bacterial small subunit ribosomal RNA", at positions 18 to 712 of the family's 1533-position model. Lineage: Bacteria; Bacillati; Bacillota; Bacilli; Caryophanales; Bacillaceae. The record is from RNAcentral.
AUCUGCUCAGGAUGAACGCUGGCGGCGUGCCUAAUACAUGCAAGUCGAGCGAAUGGAUUGAGAGCUUGCUCUCAAGAAGUUAGCGGCGGACGGGUGAGUAACACGUGGGUAACCUGCCCAUAAGACUGGGAUAACUCCGGGAAACCGGGGCUAAUACCGGAUAACAUUUUGAACUGCAUGGUUCGAAAUUGAAAGGCGGCUUCGGCUGUCACUUAUGGAUGGACCCGCGUCGCAUUAGCUAGUUGGUGAGGUAACGGCUCACCAAGGCAACGAUGCGUAGCCGACCUGAGAGGGUGAUCGGCCACACUGGGACUGAGACACGGCCCAGACUCCUACGGGAGGCAGCAGUAGGGAAUCUUCCGCAAUGGACGAAAGUCUGACGGAGCAACGCCGCGUGAGUGAUGAAGGCUUUCGGGUCGUAAAACUCUGUUGUUAGGGAAGAACAAGUGCUAGUUGAAUAAGCUGGCACCUUGACGGUACCUAACCAGAAAGCCACGGCUAACUACGUGCCAGCAGCCGCGGUAAUACGUAGGUGGCAAGCGUUAUCCGGAAUUAUUGGGCGUAAAGCGCGCGCAGGUGGUUUCUUAAGUCUGAUGUGAAAGCCCACGGCUCAACCGUGGAGGGUCAUUGGAAACUGGGAGACUUGAGUGCAGAAGAGGAAAGUGGAAUUCCAUGUGUAGCGGUGAAAUGCGUAGAGAUAUGGAGGAACACCAG